GUGCUCACUUUGGCAGCACGUACACUAAAAUUGGAAGGAUACAGAGAUUAGCAUGGCCCCUGCACAAGGAUGACAUGCAAAUUCGAGAAGCGUUCCUUAGUUUU
Molecule: small nuclear RNA, 104 nt
Organism: Cervus hanglu yarkandensis (Yarkand deer)
Lineage: Eukaryota; Metazoa; Chordata; Mammalia; Artiodactyla; Cervidae
Source: Ensembl